Molecule: long non-coding RNA, 1439 nt
Organism: Oncorhynchus tshawytscha (Chinook salmon)
Lineage: Eukaryota; Metazoa; Chordata; Actinopteri; Salmoniformes; Salmonidae
Source: Ensembl
CCCCUGUAUAUAGCCUCCACAUUGACUCUGUACCGGUACACCCCUGUAUAUAGCCUCCACAUUGACUCUGUACCGGUACCCCCUGUAUAUAGACUCCACAUUGACUCUGUACCGGUACCCCCUGUAUAUAGACUCCACAUUGACGCUGUACCGGUACCCCCUGUAUAUAGCCUCCACAUUUAGCCUCCACAUUGACUCUGUACCGGUACCCCCUGUAUAUAGCCUCCACAUUGACUCUGUACCAGUACCCCCUGUAUAUAGCCUCCACAUUGACUCUGUACCGGUACCCCCUGUAUAUAGCCUCCACAUUGACUCUGUACCGGUACCCCCUGUAUAUAGCCUCCACAUUGACUCUGUACCGGUACCACCUGUAUAUAGCCUCCACAUUGACUCUGUACCGGUACCCCCUGUAUAUAGCCUCCACAUGGACUCUGUACCGGUACCCCCUGUAUAUAGCCUCCACAUUGACUCUGUACUGCUACCCGCUGUAUAUAGCCUCCACAUGGACUCUGUACUGUAACCCCCUGUAUAUAGCCUCCAUAUUGACUCUGUACCGGUACCCCCUGUAUAUAGCCUCCACAUUGACUCUGUACCGUAACACACUGUAUAUAUUCUCCACAUUGACUCUGUACCGGUAACCCCUGUAUAUAGCCUCCACAUUGACCCGGUACCGGUACCCCCUGUAUAUAGCCUCCACAUUGACUCUGUACCGGUACCCCCUGUAUAUAGCCCCCACAUUGACUCUGUACCGGUACCCCCUGUAUAUAGCCUCCACAUUGUCUCUGUACCGUAAUACCCUGUAUAUAGCCUCCACAUUGACUCUGUACAUUAACACCCUGUAUAUAGCCUCCACAUUGACUCUGUACCUGUACCCCCUGUAUAUAGCCUCCACAUUGACUCUGUACCGGUACCCCCUGUAUAUAGCCUCCACAUUGACUCUGUACCGGUAUCCCCUGUAUAUAGCCUCCACAUUGACUCGGUACCGGUACCCCCUGUAUAUAGCCUCCACAUUGACUCUGUACCGGUACCCCCUGUAUAUAGCCUCCACAUUGACUCUGUAUCAGUACCCCCUGUAUAUAGCCUCCACAUUGACUCUGUACCGGUACCCCCUGUAUAUAGCCUCCACAGUGACUCGGUACCGGUAUCCCUUGUAUAUAGCCUCCACAUUGAGUCUGUACCGGUACCCCCUGCAUAUAGCCUCCACAUUGACUCUGUACCGUAACACCCUGUAUAUAGCCUCCACAUUGACUCUGUACCGUAAUACCCUGUAUAUGCCUCCACAUUGACUCUGUACCGGUACCCCCUGUAUAUAGCCUCCACAUUGACUCUGUACCGGUACCCCCUGUAUAUAGCCUCCACAUUGACUCUGUACCGGUACCCCUGUAUAUAGCCUCCACAUUGACUCUGUACCGGUACCCCCUGUAUAUAGACUCCACAUU